This 273-nucleotide ribosomal RNA is filed under the name uncultured bacterium. RNAcentral's name for it is "partial 16S ribosomal RNA". The record is from RNAcentral.
CUGCUGCCUCCCGUAGGAGUCUGGUCCGUGUCUCAGUACCAGUGUGGGGGACCUUCCUCUCAGAACCCCUACGCAUCGUCGGCUUGGUGGGCCGUUGCCCCACCAACUACCUAAUGCGCCGCAUGCCCAUCCGUGACCGGGGUCGCCCCCUUUGGCCGGCAGGGGAUGUCCCCUCCCGGCAUUAUGUUGUAUUAGGCGGGAUUUCUCCCGGUUAUCCAUCUGUCACGGCCAGGUUGCAUACGUGUUACUCACCCGUGCGCCGGUCGCCGGCGG